This 517-nucleotide ribosomal RNA is filed under the name uncultured eukaryote. RNAcentral's name for it is "bacterial SSU rRNA". It matches the Rfam family "Eukaryotic small subunit ribosomal RNA", at positions 21 to 549 of the family's 1831-position model. The record is from RNAcentral.
UAGUCAUAUGCUUGUCUCAAAGAUUAAGCCAUGCAUGUCUAAGUAUAAAUAGUAUACAGUGAAACUGCGAAUGGCUCAUUAAAACAGUUAUAGUUUAUUUGAUAAUCGAAUGCUACAUGGAUAACCGUGGUAAUUCUAGAGCUAAUACAUGCUGUCUACCUGACUUUACGGAAAGGUUGUAUUUAUUAGAUAUCAAGCCAAUUUCCUUCGGGAAUUGUGGUGAAUCAUAGUAACUGAUCGAAUCCCAGAAUUUUGGGAUAAAUCAUUCAAGUUUCUGCCCUAUCAGCUUUCGAUGGUAGUGUAUUGGACUACCAUGGCAGUCACGGGUAACGGAGAAUUAGGGUUCGAUUCCGGAGAGGGAGCCUGAGAAACGGCUACCACAUCUAAGGAAGGCAGCAGGCGCGUAAAUUACCCAAUCCUGAUUCAGGGAGGUAGUGACAAGAAAUAACAACCUGGGGGACUCACGUCCUUCGGGAUUGCAAUGAGGACAAUUUAAAACACCUAGCGAGGAACAAUU